GUGUUUUUGGGCGGCUCUGAAGCUUUCCUGGCAGCGACUUUUCUACAAACCCCUAUGUGGGAUGCUGCCAGUUUUUAUUUCCUCUAUAUGAACAUGUUUUUUCAAACUAAGAUUUGGGACGAGCACAGUGUUCUUCACUGGUGGAUUCACAUGGUUGUACCUGGCCCCAUCCUUCACUGGAUCAUAAUUGCCAAGCCCUUGUGCAAGCACGACCAUGUCAUGCCCGUGUAGGUGCAUUGGAUUUGAGUCACCCUGUAGCAUUGCGGUGCUCUGGAAGACUAUCUCCACGAUGGCGCCAUGUUGGAACCGCCGGACCAACGUCGCCUUAUGGUGCCAAGGCCAAGCACAAUGAACAUGCGCUCGUCGACUCUUCGUUGCACCGGAAGGCGCGCAUGGUGCCGCAGGCUGGUCAGGUUGCUGUGGAAGUAGAAGGAUGUAACUGUGUCAUGUAUAUCAGGCAUCUCAGGC
Molecule: long non-coding RNA, 468 nt
Organism: Panicum hallii
Lineage: Eukaryota; Viridiplantae; Streptophyta; Magnoliopsida; Poales; Poaceae
Exons: 3
Source: RefSeq, a predicted model, not a curated record